GCGGGUAUGAACACGGAUGCACAAGGUAAGUGAUUUCCGUAAUCACUUCUUAGUUCAAGUAAGUAAUAAAGUGUUAAAAUUUAUUUAAACAUGAUGUUUGAGGUUAAUUAUGUAGAAAAGUCUUUCGUCGUGAAUGAUGGGAUUAAAGUUGACCAAAAUGCCCUUGAUGGAUAUUUUGGGCAAACGAUCUUAGUAGUAUGGAAGUGAAGAGUAUGGUCUUGGUA
This 224-nucleotide long non-coding RNA is filed under the name Helianthus annuus (common sunflower). Its description in RNAcentral is "sRNA HanXRQr2_Chr13g0585881". Lineage: Eukaryota; Viridiplantae; Streptophyta; Magnoliopsida; Asterales; Asteraceae. The record is from RNAcentral.